ACUGAUAGUUUUAUUAAAGGGCCGCAGUAUUCUAACUGUGCAAAGGUAGCAUAAUCGUUAGUUCUUUAAUUGGGAUCUUGUAUGAAUGAUUAGACAAAAGUAUUACUGUCUUUAUAAUAAAAAUUGAAUUUAACUUUUAAGUGAAAAGGCUUAAAUUAUUUAGAGUGACGAUAAGACCCUAUAAAGCUUAAUAUUUUAUAAAAAUGUAAAUGAUAUAUAAUUAUAAAAUUUUAAAUAUUAUAAGUAUUUUAUUGGGGUGAUAGAAGUAAAAUUAAAAUAACUGCUUUGUGUUAAAACAAUUAUAAGUGAUUGGAUGUAAAUGAUCCUAUAAUAUGGAGUAUAAGAUUAAGUUACUUUAGGGAUAACAGCGUAAUUUUUUUUAAGAGUUCUUAUCGAAAAAAAAGAUUGCGACCUCGAUGUUGAAUUAAAAUAUCUAUAUAAUUGUAGGAGUUAUAUUAGAGGGUCUGUUCGACCUUUAAAUUUUUACAC
This 489-nucleotide ribosomal RNA is filed under the name unidentified. RNAcentral's name for it is "Dacryomaia edmonsoni partial 16S ribosomal RNA". It matches the Rfam family "Bacterial large subunit ribosomal RNA", at positions 1910 to 2601 of the family's 2925-position model. The record is from RNAcentral.